AGCCAUGCAGAAGAUUGCUAAGCUAUUGCCUUGGCAACACCUCCACAUUAGGAAGAAAGCUAACAGAAGCCGCAAUUAGAAAGCAAGGAGGCCGGGUUUGUUUUUAGCAAGCUCUGCAAUUCCAGGAGUGGGAUCCUGCUGAGAAUGAAAAGAAUGACACAAAGAAGGAAAAAACACCCUGUCAAACAUUCCUCACAAGAACCAGGCCUACACCUGCAUUCUGGGAGAGGCUUACAUUCUGGGAGGGGCUUAGACUCCGGCUUCUAUAGAAAUCUCAGAAUAGUGCUGUGUCAAUCUAUUUUCAAGGCAUAAGUGUGGAAUCAACAUCUCCUUUUCACAAAACAAUGGUGAAACCCAAAGAGUGGAAGAGACCUGUGGACUAUCUGACCCAACACUCCAGAAAAGGAAUUCCGUUUUCUAACAGAAAUUUUGUUCUAACUAGGAGAGGGUGGCCCUUUCUGAAGAGAGUCUGGAGUGAUUCAUUCUUUUUUUUUUUGCCUGUUCUUAUGGUGGAGGAAAUCUGCAUCUGGCAGUCUCCACCAGCUGGACAUCUCAACUCAUCUCCGAAAAGUCCCUCAGAUGUUUGAAAACAGGUACAAAAACGCCUACCCAUCACCCAAUUUACUUCCACACCUCGCUCUUCGGCAGCUAAAGUCCACCAAUUCCAUCAAGAGUUCUAUUUCAGUCUUUGCAUUAGAAUGUAAAAAGGAUGACUAUUGUAGAAAAUCCAGAAGUGUGAAAAGAAACCACUCUGGAAGUGUGCAGUGUGGCUGGAGGGAUAAACGUGUGACACUGGCCCUGUCGACACAGAAAGAGAGACGUCUUAAUGAAACUUGGUGGUCACGACAUCAAACAGACUGGUGACAGAUAAGCAGGAUGAGAAAGAGCCACAGAAGAUGGACCGGGCAGAGAACGCAGCUUGUGACAAGGCUCCGACGCAGAGGGUGCACAGUGUUUACGGAACUGAGGGAGUCCCACCCGGAGGAUGGGUUGUACCAAGCAGUUUUAGAAGAUAAACCUAGAGACCCAGGCGCAGGAGCCAGUUCAGGAAGGAUGCCGCCUGAGGAGCAAAGUCAUUUUCUUUUUAGCCAAAAGGUGAGAGGGAAUAGAUGUCAUUGAUGAGUUGGUAAAAUGUCUGGUUCUGCAAACUGACUCUGCUGACAGGGUGGAGAGACAAUGGAUGGGAAUUAGCCAGGAUCAGGAAGAGAUCAACCGAAGAGAAAGAAGAGAUGGAAGAUAGAAUGGUAGCUGUGUGGGAAUGAAGGACUAGAAAAGCAAGGAGAGAAAAAAUAGACAGUCACAAAAUCUCACCAUAGCGUAGGCAUUUGAUAGCUCCUAGAAAAGGGACAGUCAUUCUUUGUUUUGUUUUUCAGUGAUAUAACCACUGGUAGGCUUGACCACACUCCAGGGUAGGCCCCGCUUCCAAAGAUUAGCUGGGCAAUACAAACUGGACUCCGUAGGGAAUGGCAGGGGGCGCGGGAGGAUAAGAAAUCUAAAAGUUAGUUGGAAAGGCAUAGGAGGGUAGAGAGGUAAUUGUGGGAGGAGUAUUCAGAAUACAUUGUAAACUCUCAGAUGUUUUUAUCUUUGGCGUGUAAGUUUCCUCCAGGUAUCCUGCUGGCACAGUGGGCAUGAAUUCCUUUAAUUUGAGUUUAUCAUAGAAAUUUUUUUCCUUUUCUUUCAAUUAGGAAGGAUAGUUUGUUGUUUAGAGUAAUCUUUGUUGGCAAUUAUCUUUCGGAGGCUGAAGCCCACCACUGCAUACCCUCCCGGCUUUCAGAGUUUCUGCUGAGACCUCCGUCAGUACUCUGAUGGGUGUGGUCUUCUACGGGCCCCAGGGCCUCACUCCUGCACCUGUAAAUACUCUUUCUCCGCUCUGUGUAUUUAGCAUUUUAACAACACUAUAACAGGAAGGGGUUCUUUCCUGAUCUUGUAUGUAUGACAUCCAAUGUGUCUCCUGCGUCUGAAUGGCCACCUCCCCUUAGAUUUGGAAAAUUAUCUGCUAUAACUUUAUUAAAUACGCUCUCUAAGUCUUUA
Molecule: long non-coding RNA, 2031 nt
Organism: Peromyscus californicus insignis
Lineage: Eukaryota; Metazoa; Chordata; Mammalia; Rodentia; Cricetidae
Exons: 2
Source: RefSeq, a predicted model, not a curated record